UGGGGGAUAUUGCACAAUGGGCGAAAGCCUGAUGCAGCGACGCCGCGUGGGGGAUGAAGGCUUUCGGGUUGUAAACCUCUUUCGCUAUCGAACAAGGCCCGCUUAGGGUGGGUUGAGGGUAGGUGGAGAAGAAGCGCCGGCUAACUACGUGCCAGCAGCCGCGGUAAUACGUAGGGCGCGAGCGUUGUCCGGAAUUAUUGGGCGUAAAGGGCUUGUAGGCGGCUUGUUGCGCCUGCUGUGAAAACGCGGGGCUUAACUUCGCGCGUGCAGUCGGUACGGGCAGGCUUGAGUGUGGUAGGGGUGACUGGAAUUCCAGGUGUAGCGGUGGAAUGCGCAGAUAUCUGGAGGAACACCGAUGGCGAAGGCAGGUCACUGGGCCAUUACUGACGCUGAGGAGCGAAAGCAUGGGUAGCGAGCAGG
RNAcentral lists this ribosomal RNA (420 nucleotides) under bacterium. RNAcentral's name for it is "partial 16S ribosomal RNA". It matches the Rfam family "Bacterial small subunit ribosomal RNA", at positions 355 to 776 of the family's 1533-position model. The record is from RNAcentral.